UACGUAGGUGGCGAGCGUUGUCCGGAUUUACUGGGCGUAAAGAGCGCGCAGGCGGUCGUGUAAGUCGAAUGUGAAAGCCCCCGGCUCAACUGGGGAGGGUCAUUCGAUACUGCUCGACUCGAAGGCAGGAGAGGGAAGCGGAAUUCCCGGUGUAGUGGUGAAAUGCGUAGAUAUCGGGAGGAACACCAGUGGCGAAGGCGGCUUUCUGGCCUGUUCUUGACGCUGAGGCGCGAAAGCUAGGGGAGCAAACGGG
Molecule: ribosomal RNA, 253 nt
Filed under: uncultured bacterium
Lineage: Bacteria
Description: partial 16S ribosomal RNA
Rfam family: Bacterial small subunit ribosomal RNA
Source: RNAcentral